UAUGUGAUCGUCUCUCGCAUAUCAAUAAGCGGAGGAAAAGAAACUAACAAGGAUUCCCCUAGUAACGGCGAGUGAAGCGGGAAGAGCUCAAAUUUGAAAUCUUAAAGGGUUUCCCUUUACGAAUUGUAGUUUAAAGAAGUGUUUUCUGUUGAGGUUUUGGUAAAAGUUCUUUGGAAUAGGACAUCAUAGAGGGUGAGAAUCCCGUAUUUGACCUUUACUUUCAACUUUGUGAUACACUUUCAAAGAGUCGGAUUGUUUGGGAAUGCAGUCCAAAAUGGGUGGUAAAUUUCAUCUAAAGCUAAAUAUUGGCGAGAGACCGAUAGCGAACAAGUACCGUGAGGGAAAGAUGAAAAGAACUUUGAAAAGAGAGUUAAACAGUACGUGAAAUUGUCAAAAGGGAAGCGUUUGACACCAGUGUUGUUUUUCUGAAAAUCAAUUAAAGAACUGUUUAUGCUAAGUUGUUUAGACUUUAUCAGCUAUCUGUUUAGUUUUAGGCUUUUCUUUAAUGCACUUUUCAGUUAACAAGUCAACAUCAAUUUCUUUUGCUGUAAAAAAGCUUGAGGAAGGUGGCUUGAGAUUCGUCUUAAGUGUUUAUAGCCUCUUGCCUAUGUAGUCGGAGAGAUUGAGGUCUGCAGCGUAGAUCCUUCGGGGCUAAAUGCAUUUGUGCUAAGUUAUAGCAUUUUAUAGACAACUUGUUGACUAUGAUUUGUCUUGUAGCUUACUCGCUUAUGUUAUUUUACCUACGCUUAGGAUGUUGAUCUACAGAGCGAGAGU
This 774-nucleotide ribosomal RNA is filed under the name uncultured Neocallimastigales. Its description in RNAcentral is "partial large subunit ribosomal RNA". It matches the Rfam family "Eukaryotic large subunit ribosomal RNA", at positions 24 to 635 of the family's 3401-position model. The record is from RNAcentral. Lineage: Eukaryota; Fungi; Neocallimastigomycota; Neocallimastigomycetes; Neocallimastigales.